This 72-nucleotide transfer RNA is filed under the name Camelus bactrianus (Bactrian camel). It matches the Rfam family "tRNA". From Rfam's summary of the family: Transfer RNA (tRNA) molecules are approximately 80 nucleotides in length. Their secondary structure includes four short double-helical elements and three loops (D, anti-codon, and T loops). Further hydrogen bonds mediate the characteristic L-shaped molecular structure. tRNAs have two regions of fundamental functional importance: the anti-codon, which is responsible for specific mRNA codon recognition, and the 3' end, to which the tRNAs corresponding amino acid is attached (by aminoacyl-tRNA synthetases). tRNAs cope with the degeneracy of the genetic code in two manners: having more than one tRNA (with a specific anti-codon) for a particular amino acid; and 'wobble' base-pairing, i.e. permitting non-standard base-pairing at the 3rd anti-codon position. RNAcentral also lists the same sequence under 1 other name. The record is from Rfam by way of RNAcentral. Lineage: Eukaryota; Metazoa; Chordata; Mammalia; Artiodactyla; Camelidae.
GAGGGUAUAGCUCAGUGGUAGAGCGUGUGCUUAGCCUGCACCAUGUCCUGGGUUCAAUCCCUAGUACCUCCA